AUAGACGGGGGAUAAUCUCCUGCUAGAUAUCCCCAUUUUGUGUCACAGUUGCUUCGAGGGAAUCAGUGUUAUUGCAAAUAGUAUUAAGUGAGCUGCUUUUCAAUAACGAUUUAAUUUACGAUGGCUCGCUAUACACCUAGCGAAAUUGUCGAUAUGCUUGUGGCUUUGAGAGAAUGUGAUGAAUUUGGGAGAAUUAGUUCUGUCACUUCCGAAAUGUUAUUUAGGGAUAGAGUAAAUAAUUGUAUUGACGUCCAAGAACAUCCUUCUGAAUACGCGCGAUAAAAAACAAUUUUUUUGGACGGAGGUAAGUUUUGGACUGCAAAAAAUAAUCUUAAAUGACCUUAGAACACCAAUAUAUCGAAAUUCGGCGAAUUCGCCAUAGAACGGGCUACACGUCUAUUUAAAUAAAAAUAUAUUAGUUCCGUAUAAAAAUCACAAAGAUUAUCUUAAAAGUACGUCCACCUGGAGAAGAUUUGCGAUCAACGUAAGAUGACCUUCCCGGAACAGGGUAAGUUUUAUUUGCAACAUAUUUUAAGCGAGCUGUAGUUUGGGAAAUAAUAGCGUGCGAAAUUUUAAAUGGGAUACCCUCUAUAUGCAUAAUAGAAUAUAAUACAUAUAUAAUGGAUAAUUCUCUGCAGAAUAUAAUAUGUAAUAUAAUAAAUAUAUAGAAUAGUAAAGUAUACUGAAAAUCAUACAGCAGUCACUGUAGCUCAGCAAAAGUCAUUCUAUAAGAAAAUUACAAAUCAAAAUUACAGUAUGCGAUAAAACCUAUGAAUAUUGUGAGAUAUAUGCACAUUUUGCGUUAUACGAAUUCAUUUAUACAAAUAUCAGCUUCAAACGUUUCUCUUCAUAUCAUUUCAUUAAGAAGCAUUUUACUUUCAUUAACAAUUUUCCAAAUCGUGUUACGAUUUAUUUACAAAACGGAAGAAACUUGAAACCAGUACAAAACCAAUUCCUUUCUUUCCGCCCGAAAAACAGUAUCAUCGCCCAAGAGGAAACACAUUUUCCUUUUAUCGAUCAGAGGAGAGUAAUCCAUAUUCACGGUUUCGCGAGAAUAUCGGAGGAAAAGAGAAGAGAGAGAGGGGAAAAAAAGGAAGGAUUUUCCCGGUUGUGAUUGUUAUUAUUCCGUACGGAAAAAUCAGGCCGGAUAACGCGUUAUCGGGUUGAAAUGUCCUCGGAAGCGCGCGAAUCUCUGAGCGAAAAACAAAGAUGUGAACGUCGUUUGCCCCGCGGUGGCACUCUCGUAACGCAGAUUAUUCUAUUACACGUUACGUAAACAGAGAUAAAGAGAAAGAGAAAGAGAGAGAGAAAGGGAGAAAGAAAAGAGAAACAGACGAGGGAAACGCGGCGGAGCUGUUCCGCCGCUUUCCGCGUCUCGGUACCGCGAUGUUGUUUGGCCUGAAAAUACGUUAUUGUUUCACCACGAUAAAAAAUUCAACGUUUGGAUAAUUACAUCAGAGUUGAUCGAUCCGGUUAGCCCCCGGCGGAUUUCUACUGAGUUACUGACUUACUUUGCCUACCCUUUGCUGUUUUGCCGCGAGACAGAUGUUUACACGACCGACGUAAUAACGUUAAAUUAAAUUCCUUUUCGGAUAUUUCGCGUUAAGUUCUACGUUUUCUAAGUCGUACAUGAUAAAUAUAAUUCAUCGUAUAGAUUGAUACAGAGUAUAGAAGAAGGUAGAGAGUAAUCGUAUUUCGCUUCAAUUCGUAGUUGCUAAAUUUUAUGUAAUAAUAAUUAUCAAUAGGUUUAUCGUAGAACAAACUGGAAUACGUAUUACAUUAAAUAUUUUAGAAUUACGUGAUCUCUAAUUCAAAUGUAGUUACAUUGAAACUGUUACGAUUAUCUUAUCUUGCCAAACGUGUAUCUAUCUCGUAGAAUAUAGAAUACAAAUAAGAAUGAAAUAAUCCAGAGAGAUUAUUAUUGAAUUUCUGUCGUUACCGCAACGGUAUGAAUUUCCAUUCUGUUUAAUAUCCUUGCUUUGUCAGAGAUCGUGAACUGUAUCGUAGAAUAUAGGAUAUUUGCAUACGGAAAUUAUUUUGUACUUAUACCUCUAUCGUUAAAUACUUCGGCGUUCUGCCUCUUAGGUUCACAUAGUGUACCACAUUACACGCAUAAAUCCAAAUUAUAAAGGCCCUUUCUUCUCUUUCGUGACCGGGGGCACGCUUCGAACGAACGGGAGGUUCAGCUGCGUGCGUGCGCGCUCCAAACGAAAAUGCGUCUAUCCGCGCGGAUUUCCAAGAGCAAGAUAGAAGAACGAGCAAAGAACGAAUCAGUUUUCGAUAGAACCACCCGUGCGUGACAGCUGCGAUUCUUUUUUCCGAAUCUUUCUUUUCCUACUUCUUCCUCUCCCUUUCUCUCUCUCUCUCUCUCUCUCUCGAUCUUUGAAGCUUCGUGUUUUGCCCGGCUACAUAAUCCCUUCGAGCAAGAGGAACCGUGAAAGGAGGAAGAAAAACCGAGCGAAUCCAACGAAGAUGAAAUGAGAAACAGAGAAACGAUGAAGGAAAAGCGAUCCAAGUGAAUCGACGAGAGGGAACAGAGUAAGAUGGGAGAAAAAAAGGAGAGAGAGAGAGAGGAUAAACGUUGAAGAACAAGGACGAGGAAAACCGACGACCCCGCUGUUUGCCUUUUAUUAAACUCUUGUUAAACGCCGCCUUUCUUCGCACACACAAUUGAAUCGGCAAAACAGCGAAGAUAAUGCUUCGACCGAGUUGUACACGGCCGAGGGCCAGGCUCUUCUACGUGGAAGACUUACCGCAAACACCAGCUUCUUGUACACCCUGAAAUGGACACCGUGUAAUCCGGCUUUUUAUACGGCAGUGCCGCAUUGACCGGCUCCUCCAAGGCAUGCACAUCGGCUACUAGUGGCUAAUAAAUACUGUCGUCAUCUCUCUCUCUCUCUCUCUAUCUCUCUCUCUCCCUAUACGUUUCCGUUUGUUCGUGAAAAAGAACCCUGAAAACGAUUCUUCAACGACCGUGAAAAUCGCACGGCCCACCCUCUUCCUGCCGGCAUCGUUCACCUCUAAUGAAAAUAUUUGGAUAUUUCGAGCAAGAUUGGCGUGACCCACGUUUCAAAGCGUGCCAUUGUACGCCGUUGCUUCGAGAAGCUUGUAACUCGAUAAGACCGGAAAUCAAAGGUUAUAAACAGCAAAAUACCGACACAAAGUGGCACGAGAUAUCGUGGAAUGCGUGUUGCAAUUCAUAGAAUUGCAAUGGGAGUCCGAGUUACGUAUAGAAUAAGCGCGUAAUGCAUUUAAUAACCCUUGCGCAGUUCGUCAACAAUUUUUCUACCCAUUCUUAUUCCUUUCCUCUUUCAAAUAAACUUUCCAAUUUUAUAGAGAAACCAUCGAUAACAAAUUUCCGUACAUUAAAUUUGUUUUGAAAUUGAAAAAAGGGGAAUACGAUUCAAGAACCAUCGUUGAAUUUAUUAUUAAACGAUACCGGUAACGUCGAUUAUUAUAUUUGUAAGUUCGUUAAAAAAUAAGUUACGGCACAGUCAAUUUCUCGUUACGAUUUUUCUUUUUUUUUUUUUUUUACAAUUACCACGAUCGACAAAAGAAAGGACGGGAGAGACGGAAGCGUGGAAAUCAAAUGGAAGGAAGAAAGAAAAAAGAGAAUAUAGUUGUGCACAGUUUAUAAACAAUGUUUAUUUUCUGCAAUUUUACUUCUGUUCCAUAUCGUUUCGUUCUUUUUUCUUUCCCUGUUUUAAUUCUCUUUUACAAUCAUAGGAGCAGCCUACAUUUAACGUGAUUGAAAAAUCUUGCGCCAUUGCGAAUGUGAAUGUUGAAUAUGUAUACAGCACAUAUACAUGUACAUAACACACACAUAUAUAUAUACACAUACCUUUUCAUUUCAUUCUUAUUUUACUUUAUAUAAUGUAUAUCGAGGUAAAAACUAAGUACUCAUAAAAAACGUAGAUCAACAUUUUUCUCUUUAUUUUUUUCAAUUUUUUCUCUCUCGUUCUGGUGGGAUAUCGUUUAUAAGGGCACAUUAUAGGACUCUCUAUGUGUACAUACAUAUACAUAUGCAUGUGUUCUCUAUACAUAUAUUAUAUAUACACAUACAUUUUACAUACUUUCAAAGAGAUAUGACAUCCGGAUAUCGCUUUCUUCGUUCAACUCGACUCAACAAAAUUCCACAAUAUAUCUGCGUGAUUCUCUUCGUUCCCCUUCUUCUUGUCUUUCUUUCUUCUAUUUUUCCUUUUCCUUCUUUCGCCCCCUAUUGACUAGUGACACUGAUAAUUGACUAAUAAAUACUGAGCUGCUACGAGAUUAAGGUAUACAAUGGAUUGGAGGAGACAGCUAAGCUUCUUCUUUUACACGAAUCAAGCCACUACAUUUUACGUAACUCAAAUUCGUUUUGUAUAGUCUUAAUGUUACUUACUAGGAGACGAUGGCACGUUGGAUUGACGUAAGGAAAAAGAAGUAAAA
This is a long non-coding RNA of Bombus impatiens (common eastern bumble bee), 4428 nucleotides long. RefSeq lists it as uncharacterized. The transcript is spliced from 2 exons. The record is from RefSeq and is a predicted model, not a curated record. Lineage: Eukaryota; Metazoa; Arthropoda; Insecta; Hymenoptera; Apidae.